UCAGACUACCAAGUAGGCAGC
Molecule: non-coding RNA, 21 nt
Organism: Caenorhabditis elegans
Lineage: Eukaryota; Metazoa; Nematoda; Chromadorea; Rhabditida; Rhabditidae
Source: Ensembl